Vombatus ursinus (common wombat) is the source of this 1437-nucleotide long non-coding RNA. RefSeq lists it as uncharacterized. The record is from RefSeq and is a predicted model, not a curated record. The transcript is spliced from 4 exons. Lineage: Eukaryota; Metazoa; Chordata; Mammalia; Diprotodontia; Vombatidae.
GCCAGGGUUGUGGUCAGGAUAAAAUGAGAUAAUAUUUGUAAAGUGUUUUGCAAAUCUUAAAGGUUGGAUUAGCUGAGUCAUGGAUCAAAUUGAGGUCAUUCAACCUGAUGGAACUACAGGGUGGGGGCCCUUGUUUGAAAGCAACCGAAGGGGGUCAGAAAGCUCCUAAUAUUUGUCCAGCUGAGGAUCGGAGGUCCCAUCCCGGUGGUCUAAAAACGAGCUUGUCUCUCUUGCUCUCUGGGCUUCCUGUUUGACUCUGCCCUUGGGACUCCUUCCAGAGUGCACGGGGGCAGGGAUUUCUCCCUCCUCUCCAGGAACAGUAAUGCAAAUCAACAGCACGUUCUUUCUUUGCUUGACAGUGGCAGACGUGCUUGCAGAGGCCAGGAAGUCAAGUUCAAGGACACUGUUCCUGCACCCCAGCAUCUUGUGUAAAGAAGAGGGGGUGUUGUGGAGAUUUUAACUCACUAGGCAAUGUGGUCCCAGAAUCCAGCCUUCUGGCCGGAGAAGCUUGUUCUCCUCUGGAAUAUCUGCCUUGGUGGUUUUGGUAACCUCAAGAUUAAGAGUUUCUGAGUUUGAGAAUUCAGGAGCCAAACCCUGCAGAGAAUGGAAAUUUCUGGACGCAGUCCGCUCUUGGCAGACAGGAGGGCAGUGCGCAGAAGGCUGCCCAGAGCCUGACUUACAGAGCAAAACUGGGGAGCUCAUUAGGCAAGGCCAACCUCAGCAAGUUCCAAAAUGGCCUACAACUGUCACAUUUCAUUCCAAUUCUGAUUCUGAAGCACCGGAUCAGCUGGAGUCAGACCCUGACUACAAUAGAGACUAUUGGAAUAACAACUUGGCAGCUCACAGACGACAAACUGGAGAGAGAAGAGACAAGCUACAGAGGUCAAUUAAAAUGCUACUGAAAUGGUGCUGGUAAGAGGUAAUGAGGGCCCAAAGACUACAUGAAUGGAAGGAGAAGCUGAAGAAACAGAAUUGGCGAGUUAACCCACUGGCCCUCCAUCCCCACCUAUUGUGCUCUCCCUACCAUUACCACCACUAUGUGAUUGCCAAGUGGCACCUACAGGCAGGUGAGCCCAACACUCCACAUACCGCUAGUCCUGAUGCCCACCCAGCUGGAAGGACUGUGGCAAUUGUCCAGGGAAACAACCCUUGUGGAGAUUUGACCCGGCAACUGCUUCUUCAGGUACUGUAACCAAUGCUUUUGCUUUUAUUAAUAUUCCGUGGUUUGGUCUGGUAAAAAGAAGCACCAUAUGGGGACUUUUUGGGGUUUUUGAAUUGAUGACAACCCAUAUUGUUUCUUCAACCUGGAUGUGCCUUCCAUGGUUCCAUGUUUGGGGGUACCUGGUCUACAUGCUUAUUGAAAAUAAGAGGGGCAGCUAGGUGGCACAGUGGAUAGAGCACUGGCCCUGAAGUCAGGAGGACCUGAGUUCAAAUCCG